GUGGGGAAUAUUGGACAAUGGGCGCAAGCCUGAUCCAGCCAUGCCGCGUGAGUGAUGAAGGCCCUAGGGUUGUAAAGCUCUUUCACCGGUGAAGAUAAUGACGGUAACCGGAGAAGAAGCCCCGGCUAACUUCGUGCCAGCAGCCGCGGUAAUACGAAGGGGGCUAGCGUUGUUCGGAAUUACUGGGCGUAAAGCGCACGUAGGCGGACAUUUAAGUCAGGGGUGAAAUCCCGGAGCUCAACUCCGGAACUGCCUUUGAUACUGGGUGUCUGGAGUAUGGAAGAGGUGAGUGGAAUUCCGAGUGUAGAGGUGAAAUUCGUAGAUAUUCGGAGGAACACCAGUGGCGAAGGCGGCUCACUGGUCCAUUACUGACGCUGAGGUGCGAAAGCGUGGGGAGCGAACAGGAUUAGAAACCCGUGUAGUCC
RNAcentral lists this ribosomal RNA (425 nucleotides) under uncultured bacterium. Its description in RNAcentral is "partial 16S ribosomal RNA". It matches the Rfam family "Bacterial small subunit ribosomal RNA", at positions 354 to 796 of the family's 1533-position model. The record is from RNAcentral.